Molecule: long non-coding RNA, 1784 nt
Organism: Haplochromis burtoni (Burton's mouthbrooder)
Lineage: Eukaryota; Metazoa; Chordata; Actinopteri; Cichliformes; Cichlidae
Exons: 3
Source: RefSeq, a predicted model, not a curated record
AUAAAUGUUGUGUCAUAUUGAGAUUACUAAAGCAACUCUAUUUUAUUUAACUGCAUAAUCGUUUUCUUCUUCUUUCAGCUUCUCCCUUUAGGGGUCACCACAGCUGAUCAUCUGCAUCACUCUAGUAUCCUGUUAUGUCACACCAAACCUCUGUAUGUUCUCCUUCUGUGGUCGUCCUCUUUUGUUUGGCAGCUUCAUCAUUAACAUCCUCUGCACAUGUCAGCCUUGUCUUUCUAACUGUGUCUCCAAACCACCCAACCUGAGCUGUCCCGCUGAGAUACUCCUUUCUAAUCUUAACAUCUCGGGUCUCACUGUCAUCUUGUAAUCCUUUGCUUGCUGCUAUCUAUCAGUCACAAGUCAACCCUGACACUCCUCUCCACCCACCUCCAUCUUGUCUGCACUUUUGUCUUCACCACUGUCUCCUGCUCAUUCGCACACAUGUAUUCGGUUUUGCUUCGACUGACUUUUAUUCCUCUUCUCUCCAGAGGAUACCUUCACCUCUCCAUGCUCUCCUCAACUCCUCAAAGUCCUCCUUCCACCUUCCUGACACACACUUUUCUCUCUUUCUAUCUUUAAUCACGCAAAGCUGCUGCUAAUCCUUUCCAGCUCGAUCCCUCUGUCUAACCAAUCGAUGCAAAAUCUUUUGUCUCCUUCCUUAAGACAUAAAAGUAACUUCAACAAAGUUAACUCGGCCUGUUCAGCAUUUACACUUAGGAUAUUUUAUGACUCAUAUCAUCAUCAUCAUCAUCAUCUCUAACUCUGAAUUUGAUAUGUUUAGUUAGAUGAGAGACAGAGAAGAAAACUCAGUUUCUGCUAAUAGAUAUAACACUUUUUUUGGGUAGUUUUUUACUCUUGUUUAUGUGUUUUUUUUAUGUAAAGUGAUGCAACACACACAAACAGACAUACACAAAUAAUGUGAUUGUUUUGAUGAAUGCAAAAAGAGAAAUGCAAAAAGAAAACGCAUAAAAUAAACUGUUCACUUUAUUUCUCCAACCUCGUUUCAGCUCUAAGAUUUAUGUUGACAUGGUGACGUUGGAUGGAAAAUUAAGAAAAAGCUGAUGGAAAACUUUUUUUCAUAUGUGUGUAAAAAUAUACACCACCCCUAUAAAAAGCCAUUUUAUUAGCAUCAGUAAAUUAUCUCAUUUUCUUUUCUUGCCCAUGAAGUAAGCAGACAAUGGAGAAAUGAAGGGCAGUAACAGGAGUGGUGGCUCAUGGUAAACUGACACCCCAGUUGUGUACUGAAGCCUGUGUGACUGAAAAAUAGCUGAGUCAUUAGGUUGGCACUGUCACUGCACAUAUAACACUGACUACUGACCAGCUACACAAGAUCUGACACAAGACUGACCGGUGAAGAAAACACUGACGUGGAGCCAUGCUGUGACUGAUAUGUUCUGCGCUGCACAAUGUGGCUGCCUGGGUCGUGUCUUGCUGUUGCUCCUCAGCAAAGGACGGGACAUCAUCAGGAGAGGCAUACAAGUGUAAAGGAAAGCAAGUGUGGACAGUGUCUGAUGAUGCAGCGACAUCCAGUCAAAAGCCUUCCUAAUUCCUCUCAGCGGUGCGGAGAGGAACGACAGCCACAUUUUCUCCACCCGGACACCCUGCAAAGUGUUUAAUCUCCGCUCUGGUCUGACUCUGUGUUGCUCUGUGCUUGUUAUAAUGAUGACUUAUCUAAAAACUCCUGUUUGGGAAGCUGGAUAAUGUCUGACAGCUGACAAAUACAGCAGCAUCAGUCAGGUCAUCAUGUCACAUCAUGACUUUAACCAAUAAAGAGUUGUGCAGGAUGU